Molecule: long non-coding RNA, 304 nt
Organism: Mytilus trossulus (common blue mussel)
Lineage: Eukaryota; Metazoa; Mollusca; Bivalvia; Mytilida; Mytilidae
Exons: 4
Source: RefSeq, a predicted model, not a curated record
CUCGGCUAUUUCACAUUGCGAAUUAUGAUGAAGUAUUGUUGUUUGAUUGUUUUCAUCUUUUGCACAAUUGAUGUGUCAAAUGGCGGCAUUCUUUCUGGAAUAUGCAACGCCUCCAACGGUACCUGUGGAAAAAAAGGUGUUCCAUGUAAUCAGACAUUCGGGUCUGAAUGGACGUAUACCGGAAAAUGCUGCAAUGAACGACCAUGUUGCAAAUUUUUAAAACCGCAAUGUGUUCCAGAAACUUGCCCAGCGGGUUACAGGCUGUUACCAAACGAAAACAGUAGUACUAGUUGUUAUUUAUAUG